GACGAACGCUGGCGGCGUGCUUAACACAUGCCAGUCGAACGGUGAAGCUCCAGCUUGCUGGAGUGGAUCAGUGGCGAACGGGUGAGUAACACGUGAGCAACCUGCCCCUGACUCUGGAAUAAGCGCUGGAAACGGCGUCUAAUACUGGAUACGAGAAGGGUCCGCAUGGGCACUUUCUGGAAAGUUUUUCGGUUGGGGAUGGGCUCGCGGCCUAUCAGCUUGUUAGUGAGGUAAUGGCUCACCAAGGCGACGACGGGUAGCCGGCCUGAGAGGGCGACCGGCCACACUGGGACUGAGACACGGCCCAGAGUCCUACGGGAGGCAGCAGUGGGGAAUAUUGCACACUGGGCGAAAGCCUGAUGCAGCGACGCCGCGUGAGGGAUGACGGCCUUCGGGUUGUAAACCUCUUUCAGCAGGGAAGAAGCGAAAGUGACGGUACCUGCAGAAGAAGCACCGGCUAACUACGUG
Molecule: ribosomal RNA, 468 nt
Filed under: uncultured bacterium
Lineage: Bacteria
Description: partial 16S ribosomal RNA
Rfam family: Bacterial small subunit ribosomal RNA
Source: RNAcentral